Molecule: ribosomal RNA, 492 nt
Filed under: uncultured bacterium
Lineage: Bacteria
Description: partial 16S ribosomal RNA
Rfam family: Bacterial small subunit ribosomal RNA
Source: RNAcentral
AGUGAACGCUGGCGGUAGGCCUAACACAUGCAAGUCGAACGGCAGCACAGUAAGAGCUUGCUCUUACGGGUGGCGAGUGGCGGACGGGUGAGGAAUACAUCGGAAUCUACUUUUUCGUGGGGGAUAACGUAGGGAAACUUACGCUAAUACCGCAUACGACCUACGGGUGAAAUCAGGGGAUCUUCGGACCUUGCGCGAUUGAAUGAGCCGAUGUCGGAUUAGCUAGUUGGCGGGGUAAAGGCCCACCAAGGCGACGAUCCGUAGCUGGUCUGAGAGGAUGAUCAGCCACACUGGAACUGAGACACGGUCCAGACUCCUACGGGAGGCAGCAGUGGGGAAUAUUGGACAAUGGGCGCAAGCCUGAUCCAGCCAUACCGCGUGGGUGAAGAAGGCCUUCGGGUUGUAAAGCCCUUUUGUUGGGAAAGAAAAGCAGCAGGUUAAUACCCCGCUGUUCUGACGGUACCCAAAGAAUAAGCACCGGCUAACUUCGUG